GACGAACGCUGGCGGCGUGCUUAACACAUGCCAGUCGAACGGAAAGGCCCUGCUUUUGUGGGGUGCUCGAGUGGCGAACGGGUGAGUAACACGUGAGUAACCUGCCCUUGACUUUGGGAUAACUUCAGGAAACUGGGGCUAAUACCGGAUAGGAGCUCCUGCUGCAUGGUGGGGGUUGGAAAGUUUCGGCGGUUGGGGAUGGACUCGCGGCUUAUCAGCUUGUUGGUGGGGUAGUGGCUUACCAAGGCUUUGACGGGUAGCCGGCCUGAGAGGGUGACCGGCCACAUUGGGACUGAGAUACGGCCCAGACUCCUACGGGAGGCAGCAGUGGGGAAUAUUGCGCAAUGGGCGGAAGCCUGAUGCAGCAACGCCGCGUGCGGGAUGACGGCCUUCGGGUUGUAAACCGCUUUCGCCUGUGACGAAGCGUGAGUGACGGUAAUGGGUAAAGAAGCACCGGCUAACUACGUG
Molecule: ribosomal RNA, 468 nt
Filed under: uncultured bacterium
Lineage: Bacteria
Description: partial 16S ribosomal RNA
Rfam family: Bacterial small subunit ribosomal RNA
Source: RNAcentral